GUUUUUACCAUUGAAUUAUCCUUGGUUUGGUUACCUGUGAUUGUCCAGUAAUGUAAGUGUAAGUUUAUCCCCCGGAGCACUGAAGACAGCGUCUAUUGGCUUUCGCACAGUAGGACUGCCAACAGCACAACCGGGAAGACGAGUUUUGGAAUUUGUUAAUGAUCCUUCCGCAGGUUCACCUACGGAAA
RNAcentral lists this unclassified non-coding RNA (188 nucleotides) under uncultured fungus. Its description in RNAcentral is "sequence contains ITS1". The record is from RNAcentral. Lineage: Eukaryota; Fungi.